RNAcentral lists this unclassified non-coding RNA (574 nucleotides) under Hevea brasiliensis (rubber tree). Lineage: Eukaryota; Viridiplantae; Streptophyta; Magnoliopsida; Malpighiales; Euphorbiaceae. The record is from RNAcentral.
AAUAUCAUUCAACUGAGUAGAAAGCAUGUCUCAACUUUGUCCCAACUGAAAGACAAAAAAUUUGGGCUUUUGCUAGCUCCUUACGGGAUUAUGACAGCUAAAUUUUGAGUUCAAGCCAUAAGACUAAACAGAAAUAGAGAUAAGUUUAUAUCACCAACUCAAGCAUUGAGUCUCAAGUUCUCGUCACGUUGCCAACAUCCUUCCGCUAAAAUUGACUAGAGAACCAAGAAGCCUCACUUUGCAAUUGGAAGCCAUUAGAUGGAAGAGAAAUACUGAGUUCAAGCUGCAAAAGUAAACAUAAUUGACUAGACAACCGUUGCUUGUUUAACUUUGUUACUUCCUGCAUAUUGAUAUGAAUUAUGAAAUACAUAUGAGAAAAGGUUUCUUUUCUGUGUGCUACAUUCUGACUAAACUUUUUUUCAUUGUUUCCAUAAUCCAUGCUUGUGAUGGUUUUACAGAUAGCAUUGAGACUGGAAAAGAAAAUGAAAUGAGACUCUGAAACAAACACUCUGUUUAUGUUACUUCAAGAAAAUGAAUUCUGCAAAUGUUGUGAUGCACUGAUAGAAUUGGUUGC